UGAAAACUUGGAAACUACCGUUGGAUCGAGAAAUGGACGUCCGAGAUUCGUCCACGUCAUCAUGAGUUAAAAUUUAACUCCUAGUAAAAUUUUAACUCAUGAGUGAAUCUGCGAGUUAAAUUUUAACUCAUGGUGACGUGGACGAAUCUCGGACGUCUAUUUUUCGAUUCAACGGUAGUUUCCACUGUAU
This 190-nucleotide microRNA precursor is filed under the name Oryza sativa (Asian cultivated rice). The record is from RNAcentral. Lineage: Eukaryota; Viridiplantae; Streptophyta; Magnoliopsida; Poales; Poaceae.